UACGGAGGGUGCAAGCGUUGUCCGGAUUUAUUGGGUUUAAAGGGUGCGUAGGUGGUUUAGUAAGUCUGGUUUGAAAGCUGGUCGCUUAACGAUCAGAUGUGGCUGGAAACUGGUAAACUUGAAUGCGUUGGCGGUAGCCGGAACGGGUCAUGUAGCGGUGAAAUGCAUAGAUAUGACCCAGAACACCGAUUGCGAAGGCAGGCUACUACGACGUGAUUGACACUGAGGCACGAGAGCAUGGGUAGCGAACAGGAUUAGAUACCCUGGUAGUCCAUGCCGUAAACGAUGAUUACUGGCUGUUUGCCUGCAUGGGUGAGUGGCUGAGCGAAAGCGUUAAGUAAUCCACCUGGGGAGUACGCCGGCAACGGUGAA
RNAcentral lists this ribosomal RNA (372 nucleotides) under uncultured bacterium. RNAcentral's name for it is "bacterial SSU rRNA". It matches the Rfam family "Bacterial small subunit ribosomal RNA", at positions 524 to 898 of the family's 1533-position model. The record is from RNAcentral.